GACGAACGCUGGCGGCGUGCUUAACACAUGCAAGUCGAACGGAAAGGCCCUGCUUUUGUGGGGUGCUCGAGUGGCGAACGGGUGAGUAACACGUGAGUAACCUGCCCUUGACUUUGGGAUAACUUCAGGAAACUGGGGCUAAUACCGGAUAGGAGCUCCUGCUGCAUGGUGGGGGUUGGAAAGUUUCGGCGGUUGGGGAUGGACUCGCGGCUUAUCAGCUUGUUGGUGGGGUAGUGGCUUACCAAGGCUUUGACGGGUAGCCGGCCUGGGAGGGUGACCGGCCACAUUGGGACUGAGAUACGGCCCAGACUCCUACGGGAGGCAGCAGUGGGGAAUAUUGCACAAUGGGCGGAAGCCUGACGCAGCAACGCCGCGUGCGGGAUGACGGCCUUCGGGUUGUAAACCGCUUUCGCCUGUGACGAAGCGUGAGUGACGGUAAUGGGUAAAGAAGCACCGGCUAACUACGUG
RNAcentral lists this ribosomal RNA (468 nucleotides) under uncultured bacterium. RNAcentral's name for it is "partial 16S ribosomal RNA". It matches the Rfam family "Bacterial small subunit ribosomal RNA", at positions 28 to 507 of the family's 1533-position model. The record is from RNAcentral.